This 809-nucleotide long non-coding RNA is filed under the name Panax ginseng (ginseng). RNAcentral's name for it is "long non-coding RNA (PGIN_LNC010849)". Lineage: Eukaryota; Viridiplantae; Streptophyta; Magnoliopsida; Apiales; Araliaceae. The record is from RNAcentral.
GUUGACCAAUAUACGAGUAAUAUAUAAUUCUAAACUUUGUUUGGAAUAUAGUAAUUUGUUUGAUAAGAUCUGCUUGAAUGUGAUACAUCGUUGGUUGUUAUUGAUUAAACUACCAAAAAUCAUGUCUUAGUGAUAUUGUUCUUGAAUGAAUUCUUCCGCGUAUCUAUUUAGUGUUGUUAUAUUGGAUUUAAUAUUCUAUUUUAUUCUAUAUUUUUGUUGGCACCAUUUUGAAUAUGUAUUCAUAUCUUUUUGUACGUUUUUAUAUGGUUGUGCCAAGUGAAAAUUUUGUAAUGAAGUACUAUAAAUGUAAGGCAUAAAGUGGCUUGGAAAGGUUGAGUGAAUUUUUGUAAUGUAUACAACUCACAACUAUGUAAGCAGAAGAUGAGUACAAUAUUGGAGAUUAAGCAUCUUGAAAUUAGAUCAAUAGUGGUAUUUGUAACCAUGAACAAAUUUCAACAUCAAAGGUAAUUAUUGAAAUUAGAAACUGUUGUUUAAUAUGUUUAAAUGAUAUUGUACUAAUGUUAUUUUUAUAACUAACGAGAUUUUUAAAAUAUUUUGCAGGUUAUACUGACUCUUAACAGAUUUGCUCAAUUUAGAAGUCUUUCCUUCUAGUAGAACAAGAGGUAUUAUUUAUUGUUAUAUUUUCUUUUUUAUUCUUAUUUUUAACUUAAAUUUCUGUUUAGAACACAGGUUUGACAGGAGUAACAGAUUGGAGAAAGGUGGGAAGUAGUACGAAUGUUGUAGGAUUUAGAUUUUGUGAUAGAUUUGAGGAGGGAAAGAGAAUAGGUAAGUAGGUAUAAGCAUAAGAG